This is a long non-coding RNA of Fukomys damarensis (Damara mole-rat), 4444 nucleotides long. RefSeq lists it as uncharacterized. The transcript has 4 exons. NCBI's taxonomy places the organism in Eukaryota, Metazoa, Chordata, Mammalia, Rodentia, Bathyergidae. The record is from RefSeq and is a predicted model, not a curated record.
CCCCUCGUGCUGCGCUCCUGCACCCGGGCUGCAGGUCCCGGGCAGCGGUCCCCUCGCCCCUUUGGCAAAUCGCUGGGGGUGUCUGGCGGCAGACUCUGUCCUUAGCGUCUCUUCUGUUGCUCCUCUCUCUCUCCUUCUCUUUCAGUAAAAGUAGCUGCAGUGGGGCGCCGGGCAGGGUCCGAUGGAGCUCAGCUCGCGCGCCGGGGCGUCUCUGCCGCGCUAUACCUGCUCCGAGGGCGAGGGCCCGGAGGGAGGCGCGUGCGCUCUGCUCGGUCGGCUCCGAAGGGCUUUGUGCCGGGGCUUUCUUCCAAAGCAGCCUCCGCCGAGGCUCCGGGCGAUGCCUCCUCCCCUUGGGCGACUCCCUCAGUAGCCAGCUCGCCCUCGCUCGGAGCUCUUUCCGGGCCCCUGAAUCUCCCAGUACGCCUCAGACAAUCUGUUGUGCAUUUUGGUUUCUCAUCUGCAGAACUGGGACUUCUGUGUGCAAAGAUGUCCUCCUUCCCAGGGGAGGAGGAGAAGUUCCAGGAGCCUUCUGUUCCUAGAACAAGUGGGGGCCCGGGGUGGCGAGAGCAAGGUUCCCUGGCUCACUUUGGGGUCCCAGAACCACAGGCUGUUCCUGCUAUGACUCUGAGUGUUUCCCUCUUCUCUCCAGUAGCGGAAGCAGAUGAGCCUCGGGGAGUCACUGGAGAAGUAUGUAACGGAAGGUCACAAGCUCACAAAGCAUUUUAAAUACAAACCUGCCGUAUGUGUAUUUAACAGAGUGUCUGAGGGAAUAUAGUCCACUUUGCCUGGCUAGGGGUUUAUGCAGCACCAGACCUGUGGGAGGUCACUUUGAAAAAGUCCCUGACUCACAGACGCUCUGCUAAUUCUUAUGCUCAGCUGAUUUAGGGGCAGGAGAUGGCCCAAACAAACCUUGCCGACGUCCACAAAGAUUUUCGGGAUGGCCUUCAAUUUAGGACAGUGAAUCAGAAGAGAACCUGUUUUGAAGUUUGCAGAACUCCCGGCUGUCACACGUCCCUGGAGACAUAUUGAGGAUGGGGAUAGAGGAGAUGGCCUGAAUGUGAAAAGAAGGGAAAUUGAACUGUACAUUCCUUUAAAGGUGCUAAAAAUUAGAACCCGAGAGACUGGCCUUUUGAUGCUAAUUCAAUAGUUAAAUAUCAUGUAUUAUUUUGCAUACUUGUGUUGUUGGAACUGUGACAAGAGGUGGAAUUUUCCUUAUGCCUAACAGUGCAAGGAAGGCAGUAAGUAUCAAUCAGAAAAGGAACAAAGGUUAUCAACACCUUUACCUUAUGAUUGUUUUCCCUUACAUAUAAGAAUUACCAUUUGUAACCUUCCUUUUUCUGUGGGAGAACUGUCUUCUUCACACCGCACUGUGCGCGCGCGCGCACACACACACACACACACACACACACACACACACAGUGUCCCCAUCUGUUGUUGCAAAAUGUUUAGUUGCGAGUGACGUGAGUUCAUCACUUUGAACCAGAAAAGCCACAGAUAACCAGAUAAUCCCAACAGUGAUUGUCUUGAGAAGAAGCCACCCUUAUUUUUCUGUGCCUGUCUUCAUCAGCUUGCUGGCCUUCUUGCUUAGCACCACAGUUCCUGAAUAUAUGAACCAUAAAAUGUGGUGGAUUUCAGGCUAUGGGAGGCUCCCUUUGAAAUGACUCCAGAGUCUUCUUUCCAAUCUGGGUUACUUGAGCUGGACGGGGUGAGAUUGCAAAAGGGAUGUAAAAAAGCAAUUUGGGGAACAGCUUCGGGGAAAUAAACAUGAAAAGAGACACUUACUUUUUACCCUGUGCCCUGCAGACGUACGUUAGUCUGGAUGGAACAGGAGUGACAGUGUAAAUAAAUAAGCACACCCAGUGAGAGACUGUGGUUCAUGAGCCGUCCUAGGGAAGAAGUGCUAGGUAGUGGGCAGGAAAAGUUUGUCAAGGAAUAGGCAGUGUUCAGAGGAAACAUAAGGGAGGCAUUAAACCAACUCAUUGCUGUGCUUUAGAAUAACUUUUUUCUGACCCGUGUUCUUUUACUAUUAAAUGUGUGUUUACUUGCCUGGCCAAGUCUUAAACUCCCUCAACUGUCCUAGAAGCUCACAGAACACACAUUAUGGCCUAUUUGGUGCAACACAGAACCUACUUUUUUUUUCUUCCAGUAAAGAAACCAACACCCAAAGAAGGCUGUAGCUGGAAAUGGAUUUCAAGGCUCAAAUCCAAAGCAAGUUAGCAGCCCUAGGCUCAGAGUGGAGGUGGACAGUUUCUUCUUGUUUUUCUAUUAGAAAAAGAAAGAAAGAAAAGAAAAGAAAUCCCAGGGGAUUUGGGUAAGCAGGCGGUCAAGAGACUCAGGCUGGAAGUAUCCUUUGGAUGAUGAGAAAGGGUUGUGUCCAGUCUAGAUACUGAAACAUCUCCUGUGGCCUCUUCUCCACACCUCCCCCCACCGGGCAGUGACAACAGUAACACGUUAUUUUUAUCCGCUGCAGUAGUGGCACUUUAAGGGAAGAAAGUGAUUGGCAUAUUGUUGAAUCCCUACAUCAGAUAUGUGGGAGGGGGCGUGCUCCAGUGCGGCAGCCCCAGCCCCAGCCCCACGGUGUGGAAGGGGCUGUAAUGAGCAGUGAUGAGCGAUGUUUGGCACAGCCAGAGCUGACAUCAGUCAUUCCAGCACAGAGCUAGUGUGCACAUCCUGAAAACGCUCGGCUCCCUGGAAGCAUUGGAGGGAGUAAGUCAAGCAAGGUACUGCUGGCCGGGUCUGUGUGACUGGUGCAGCUAACGGCAUCUAGGAAACGCACAGCACACAGAUCUGAAAAGCCAUCAAAUGAGCAGAUGAAGGGUGACUGCUAUUUUUAGAGAACAAAGGACGUAGAAUGAUUGUAGUCAUUUAAAAAAAGUGAUUAAAUGGUUAUAUAGCAUUAAGAAAAUUAAGGCCAUGAUGGAUUAGUUUCUGUCUGCAGGAAAAGAAUGUUCUUCCUCCCAGAUGAAGUUCUAGGACAUUUAUAAAAUUGUGGUUUCUCCAUCUGAAGAAUGAGAAAAUUGAACUAAGUGAUCUCCACAGUCCCUGUUAGCUCCAGAAAUAAUGGCAAUGUCUCCCAAAAAAGACAGACAGAUCUGCAGCUGCAAACGUCAGUGCUAUUUCUAGCCUUUGAGGUGCCCAGGAGGAAGAACUGUGAGACCCCGGAUUCUUGGCAGACCCUAGAGGAAGCAGGGAAAAGCACUCUACGUGUUCUGGAGAUAUCACUCAGGAUGUGGACUUCGAAGACUGUGUUGCCCAGAGCACCCUACCUCUGGUUUCCAGAGGGGGUUCCUGCAGAGAUUAAGAGCACAGCAACAAACAGGGGUGCCGUUUCCUCGCUGCUAUCAUUCUGGAAGUGGGUGCAACCCUGGGCUACUGCAGGCCUGCCAAGUAGUGGUCUUCCCAGCUCUCAAGCCAUUUCCACAAGUCUUGUAUCUACAUAACGCUUUGGGCCUGGCAGUCACAAUGGUGUCCUGCCCACUCCGUGGGCUCCUCAGUACGGCCUGUUGCUGUCUUUCACCCUGUCCUCACCAUUGAAAAAGGUCAUUUACAAAAGCGUGUUUCCGAAGUGCUCGUGGGGUCCAUAAGUGACAGACAAGUGUCAGCGCUGGAGCCUGACUCCAAACUAGUGUUAUCCUGCCUGUGGGUACAGAGGAGGGGGCCAGGCAUGGAAAGUGAGGACGCUGGCACACGACAGGUGUCCGAGCAAGGGCACCAGCUGAGCCAGACUGAACAAGAGGAAGCAGGAGGACAGGGACCAAAGCAACGUUCAUAUUCAAAGUUAUGCGAGGCAAUCAGAAACGAGCACACACAGGGAAAGGACAAACACAGCAGUCAGGAAAGAGCGGCAGAAAAGCCAUGAAAGCUGACAGAGAUUUGAAGGAACGUCUUAGGAGCACUGUAUUUUUGUUUCCUGUGUGAUCCAUAGGUACCUUAUUGGAAAGGAAUAAAUGGUGGCUGUUUGCUGAUGGUGGCUUUUAUGUGGAACUCCAGGCUGGACACCGAGGCGGAGUUUUAAGGCAAGAAAGUUGAAAGGAGGACUUUGUGGGUUGCCUUGGUGCUCUGAUGAAAAGCGGUGUCACAGUAAACGACGGAAAUAAAAGAGCACAUCAGGGAACGCUCAACAAACGUUUGAGGAAACGUCUCUUCCUAGUCCUUAUAUUUAAAAACAAAAUAGAGCUAAACCUGUUUCCACUGUGCCCUAACCUCUCAGUGUUUGUUGUUUGUUGUUACUGAUGCAUCUGCGCAGCCACUUUUGGCUGACUGACCACUUUUAUUUCAGCAUUCACUGAACACACGGCAAGCUCUGUGCCAGGCCUUCGGGGGAGGGUAAGACUUAGAAGACUAGCGCCUGUCCUCAGGGAACUGACUUUCAUAGGCAAGGCAGACCUGUCAGCCAUUCAGGUUUCCCUGUGGUGAGAGCCUUGCGGGGUUAGGGCUGUGUGUU